Molecule: long non-coding RNA, 13826 nt
Filed under: Homo sapiens (human)
Lineage: Eukaryota; Metazoa; Chordata; Mammalia; Primates; Hominidae
Description: HSALNT0103814
Source: RNAcentral
CUAGAGCAGUGUGGAGGGGAAAUAGGGGGCUGGAGCCCCCACACAGAGUUCCUAUUAGGGCACUGCCCAGUGGAGCUGUGAGAAGAGGGCCACGGUGCUCCAAAUCUCAGAAUGGUAGAUUGACCAACAGCUUGCACUGUGCACCUGGAAAAGCCAGAUACUCACGCCUGACUGUGAAAGCUGGCUGCAUAGAUUAAAUUGAAAGUUGUUGCCUCCUUUAAUUUCUAAAAGGUAUGUGUAAAAUUGAUGUUAUUUCCAAAUUAUUUGUUAGAUACAUUUCAUCAAUGAAGCCUUCUGGACCUGGAGUUUCCUAUAUGAGAAGGAUUUUGAUUACACAUUCAAUUUCUACAAUCAAUAUAUGACUGGCCACAUUUUCUAUCUCUUCUCAGGCCACACCGUAGUCAUAGAGCAAGAGGACUCAGAUACAGUUUGGUUGGUCCUUUACCUUCAAAAGUUCAAGUGCUGGCUGCCGAGACUUCUCCAACUCAGUGAUCAGGGUCCCAAGCUGGACCACCUCCUCAGAACCCUUGAUGACACGGCUGUUCCUCCUUUUGAGACACUUACUGAUGCAAAGGAGACUGAACAGUGAAGGAUCUCACUCAGAAUCCUGUCCACAAUCUGUCCAGUUUACACCUUACCCCAAAGAGAGGUAGCCUGUUAUACAACGUUCUUCACCUCAUUCUCUCACUUCACAAUAUAUCUUGGAGAUCUUACCAAAAGCACACAGAGACCUCCUGCGUUGUGAUUAGAUUUUCAUUGCAUAAUAUUCCAUUGUUCGUGUGUGUGUGAGUGUUUAGUUAGUCUCAAAUUGAUAGGUGCAUGAAUUUUUCCAAUCUUUUGUUAAGGCAAGCAGUAUUGAAUAAACUUGUACAUAAUAUUUUUGCAUGUGUAUAAUUAUAUCUGUAGAAUGAGUUUCAAAAAAUGAAAUUGAAAGGUUUAAGGCUGUAUUCACAAACAAUUUUGAAAGGUAUUGAUUGCCUAAUUGUCCUCCAAAAGGUUUGUCCCAAACUGGACUCCUAUAACCAAUAAAUCAAAGUGCUUGUUUCUCCAUAGCCUUGUCAACAGAGGGUGUUGCCAAACUUUUAACUUUUUGCCAAUCUGACAGGAAAGACAUGAUAUCUCCUGUAGUUUUUCUUCUUCCUCUGGUAAAAGCAAGGUUAAGUGUUUUUUCAUGUGUUUAAUAACUAUUUUUGUUUCCUUUUCUGAGUUUCUUCACAGUUCCCGAGACAGAAAAAAGGAAAAAGGAUUUCAGCAGACAGAAUUUCAACAACAAUUGUCUGUUAAAAUUCUUUUUACUUUUUCUUUCAGAGAUUGCUAGUCUCUUUCUUCUCAAUUUUAAGGUGCAUUUUAAUUGCUAAAGAGGUCAUUUCUUUGGAUGUGAUAUGCAUGAAAAUAUUUCUAUAAGUUUUUCAUUUGUCUUUUGAUUUUUUAUGAUAUUUUCUGCUACUCGGAACUGCUUUUUAUUUUAUGUAGUUCAGUUUAUUAAUUUUCUGUCCUAUGGCUUUUACGAUUUGGAGUUACAGUUAGAUAGCCCUCCUCCAAAGUUAGAAAGGAAUAUUUCCUUUUUUUCAUUGAAAACUUUGACCCAUUUGGAGUUUAUCAUGCUAUACAGUUGGAAUUGUGCCCAACUUUAAAUAUUAUUUCCCAUGUAGUUAUCCAGUUAUCUCAAAAGCAUUUAUUGAAUGGUCAUCUAUCUUUUCCACUGAUCUGAGAUCCCAUUUUUAUCAUCCACUAAAUUACUGUAUGCUUGGGUCUAUUUCUAGAUUUCCUUUUAUUUUUCAUUGAUCUGUCUGUUUAUGUACCAACAUCACAUUCUUUUUGUUAUUGAGGCUUUAGAAUGUUUUCAUAUUUGGCAAAGCCAGUUUUUCUCAAGCUCCCCUUGUCUGAGGUUUAGUUGGUAUUCUUUCUUUAUUUUUCAUAUGAAUCUUUGAAUCAGUUUAUCUAGUUAAAAAGAACACCUGGCUGGGCACGGUGGCUCACGCCUGUAAUCCCAACACUUUGGGAGGCUGAGGAGGGAGGAACACCUGAGGUCAUGAAUUCGAGACCAGCUUGGUCAACAUGGUGAAACCCCAUCUCUACUAAAAUACAAAAAAUAGCUGGGGUGGUGGUGUGUGCCUGUAAUCGCAGCUACUCAGGAGGCUGAGGCAGGAGAAUCGCUUGAGCCCGGGAGACAGAGGUUGCAGUGAGCUGAGAUUGUGCCGUUGCUCUCCAGCCUGGGCAACAAGAGUGAAACUCUGUCUCAAAAAAAAAAAAAGAACACCUCUGGUAUUUUUAUUUUUUACAAGUUAAAUUAAGAUUAGCCCGGAGGGAUGAUAACUUUAUGAUGAUCAAUGUAUGUAUUCGAGAAAUAUUUCAGGUUUUUAAAGUAUUUAAGUGUUUGUUACAUAUAGGUAUCACACAUUUCAAAGUAAGUUCAUUCCAGAGUAUUUUAUCUUUUUGUUGAUAUUAUAAAUAGUAUCUUUUCUUCUGUUAUAUCUUCUACCUAAAUGUUGAUUUGGAUACAUGAAAACUAUUUACUUCUUCCUAUAGCUAUUUUAUUCUGCAUGUUAGGGUAGAAAACAAAACUGUAAUAAUGGAGAAAACUGUAAAUGAGAUGACUCAAACAAAAUAGUUUAUUUCCAUCUCAACAGUCCUGGGUAGGUUUAUCAAGAUGGUGAGUGGUUGUACUCUAUGAAGUCACUUAGGGAUGCAUGCUAUUAGAAGUUCUUCUAUCUUCAACAUGUGAUUACAAGAUCAAUUUGCUUCAACCAAUGAUGAAGGGUUUCAAGAAGGGCUGAAGUUCAAGGUCUCUUUAAUCUGUGAGGUGACUGUUUCAUUUAUCACAACUUAUAUUCCUUUGUCAAGACCCUAGUCACAUGGCUACAUCUAACUGCAAAGAGGGCUAGGAAAUGUGGUCCGGCCAGGUCUCAGCUAUACUUUAUUUGUUUGAGAGAAGGAAAAUGGAUUUUGUGGUCAGUUAGAAGUCAUUACACAGACCAGCAAUGGUCACCAAUAAUCCACAUAUACUCUACUUUUCACAUUUAGAAAAAACUCACCUCACCCCCUAGGGAAAUAUCUCAUCCAGUUAUGACAUCCAGCUCAAAAUCCAGGAUCUUUAGGUGACAUGCAGUUUUCUAUUGGAUAUACACUUGAGUCCUCAUGGCCCAGUGACCCAUAAAGUAAUAAAAUCUAAAUUAUCACCCUCUACCACGUAAACACAGAUAAUAUACAAUGGUGAAGUGAGAACAGGAUAAUGGCAAAAGAAACUCUUAUUUAAAAAACAGAAACACACAAUCAUUGGCCCACAGCAAUGAUUAAAUCUUACUGGGUAGGAAUCCUAAAUUAUCCUUGCCCUCUCAAUGGAGUAAGUUCCAAGCUUAGUCCAUCUGACUAUCACUGGUCCUCUCUGUGGGAGGAACUCCUUUGUUUGUCAUCCUGACCACUGGCUUUGCUUUCUGGAAGAUUCUUUCUUCUCCAUUAUCUACCAUAGCCAAUAUAAGAAGAAGUGAGGAGUACUCAUUUCUUAGGAUUGCCCCGUACAGAUUUUGCAGCCUGACUUCUGUGGUUGCAAUUUGAGGGCCUAUGAGUUAUUUUAAGCUUAACCACAGGCUUUUUUAUGUUAGGCUUUAUGGCUUCCUUGGGAAUACAAUUUCUUCAAAAACUAAAAGGGCUUCUUGUUUAUUUGUUUCAUGCAUCAGUGACCACAACCAAAGUUCUUUUCUAGGUCUGAUUCUGAAAUCUUUUGUUCUAAGCUCUGUUGAAUGACUCAUGUCACUCUUAAUUUAAUGGUAACAACUUUGAGUGGGAAGAAAACUCCUUUAAUCUAAUUGUUUCCUUAGGCGUCUGUCCUUCUGUUUGCCUUAAUACAAGGCCUUUGGGAAAAGCUUAGAGGAAGGUAUUAGUUUUUUAUCACUGAUUUAACAAAUUACCACAAACUUAGUUGCUUAAAUAUAAAUGUAUAAUCUAUAAAUAUAAAUUUAUGAUAAUAUAAUAUAUAUUAUAUAUUUAUAAUAGAAAUUUAUGAUCUUACAGUUCUGUAAGUCAGAAAACCAACACUAGUUUCGCUAAGCUAAAAUCAAGGUAUCAGUAGGACCACAUUACUUCUAGAGGCUCACAGGGAGAAUCUGUGUUCUUGCCUUUUUCAGCUUCUAGAGGUUGCUGGCAUUCUUUGGCUUAUGGCCCUGUUUCUCCACCUUCAAAAUCAGCAAUAUAACACAUCUCUCUGACCCUUUGUCCCAUCAUCACAUGUCUCUCUCUUACUGCAGCUGGGAAAGAUCUUCUGCUUUUAAUGACUCAUGUGAUUAAAUUGGGCCCACUGGAAUAAUUCAGGAUGAUCUCCUCAUCUCAAGGUCCUUAAUUGCAUUUGCAAAGUCCCUUUUGCCAUGUACGGUAACAUAUUCACAGAUUCUGGGGACUAGAAUGUGGACAUUUUGGUGGGGGGACAGUCAUUAUUUGGCCUAACACAAGCAACUAAAGCCAUAUUUCCUGUUAUCUGAAAUAUAAAAGCAUUUCUCAAUCUUGUAAAGACUCACAUCUCUGGACUCUAUUUCCUUCAAUCUCUGCUUGCAAUCUGGUCAUUUCUUGCCUGAGUUUGCACUUUCUUAUAAUAUUUUGCUAAAUGCAACAAGAAGCAGGCAACACUGGAAACAAUCUAAAUUUCCAUCAACAUUUGAAUGAAUAGACACAUUGUAGUACAUCCAUACAAUAAACUACUAUAUGGCAAUAAAAAGGAAUGGACUAUUUAUACACUCAACAACAUAGAUUAAUCACAAAAUAAUUAUGCUGGAUGAAAGAAUCUAGACAAAAAUAGAGUACAUAUUAUGAGUUCAUUUAUGUAAAAUUCUAAAAAAGGAAGCCAACCUAUAGUGACAGAAAGCAGACCAGUAUUUGCCUGGGGAUGGAUUAUAGGAUGGGUUGAAUUCAAAGGAGCAGGGAAAAGCUAUGGGGGGUGACAGAUAUAUUCAUUAUUUUAAUUGUGGUGAUGAUUUCACAGGUGGAUUCCUAUGUCAAAACUCAUCAGAUUAUAUACUUUAAAUACAUGCAGUUUACUAGUUACGAUAGUGAAGACGUGGAACCAACUUAACUGCCCAUCAACUGUAGACUGAAUAAAGAAAAUGUAGUACAUAUACACCAUGGAAUACUAUGCAGCCAUAAAAAAGAAUGAGAUCGUGUCCUUUGCAGCAAUAUGGAUGGAACUGGAGGGCCAUUAUCCUAAGUAAAUUAAUGUAGGAACAGAAAACCAAACAUCACAUGUUCUCACUUAUAAGUGGGAGCUAAACAUUGAGUAUACAAGGACACCAAGAAGGGAACAAUAGACAUUGAGGUCUAUUUGAGGAUGGAGGGUGGAAGGAGGGUGAGGAUCAAAAAACUACCCAUCAGGUACUACGCUUAUUACCUGGGUGAUGAAAUAAUCUGUACAACAAACCCCUGUGACACACAAUUUAUUCAUGUAACAAACCUGCAUAUGUACCCCUGAACCUAAAAUAAAAGUUGGAGAGAAAAAAAAAGAAAUCUGGAAGCAGAAACACACACAGAGCAUGACGGCUCCAAAGACAACCAGGCAAAAUCUGUUACUUUAUCAACAAAAGUGCAUUAUUUUCAUUCCCUGGUAUUUGUUGCUAAUGUAAAUUUUGUUCAACAACCUGAAUAGAAUUAAGCAAAGCUUUGGGAAUUUUUACCAGGCAGGUACAAAAAUAUGUGUGCUAUUUUUUUGUUCCACAUCUUGAGAGAGCAUGAAAAACAUAAAUAUGUGCAGUUUAUUGAAUAUCAGUUGGACUCAAUAAAGCUAUUUUUAAGGUGUACUAAAAAAUAAAGAGAUACAUUCAUAGUAUUGCAUAUGGGAUUUCACUGAGACAUAAACUCAUGAAGGUUGGGGCCUUUGUUUGGUUCAUUACUGUAUCACCAGAACCUAUGAUAGCACCUGGCACAUAUUAGAGGUUCAAUAUAUCCCAUAUAACUUGUAGAAGGCAGAAGAAUGUCCCUAUCCCCAAGAUGUCCAUGUCCUAAUCCCUAGAACCUGACUAUAUUAUGUUAUAUGGCAAAAGAGAAUUAAGGUUGCUAAUCAGUUGACUUUGUAAAAAGGGAGGUUAUUAGGCCGUAUGAGGUCCAAUCUAAUCACACCAAUCUUUAAUAAAAGUGGAAAGAAGAAGAAGCAGAAUGUAGCUCAGAGAGAUAGGACAUGAGAUGGACAUAACCAACUGUUGUUGGAUUUGAAUACAGAGAAAAGAGGCUAUGAGCCAAGGAAUUCUACAGCCCUUUGAGCUGUUAACAGCUCUGUUUAAAGCCAGUAAAAAGACAGGAACCUAGUCCUCCAACUACAAGGAAUUGAGUUCUGCAAGCAACCAGAAUGAACAGAAACAAAUUUUCCCCUAAAGCCUUCAAAAAGAGAUGCAACCACACUGACAACUUGAUUUUAGCCCAUUGAGACUUGUUUCAGACCUCUGACCUACUGAGGCAAGAUAAGUAAGGUUAGGAGGCCAUACUAACUUGUCCCAUGUGUGAAGCCCCACGGCUCCUUUUACAGUGAAUUCUUUUCACUUGCACCCUCCUGCAUCAGCACUGAAGUCUUUUGCAAGACAAGCAGUCCUGCAGGAUUCUGCCAGGUGGUUACAAGUUCUUGAUACCCUAUACAGCCUGGGAAAGAGAACGAAAGCCCUUUGUUCAUGAUGUAGCUACCCAUCUCCAGCCAAUCAGCACCAAAAGCCCAAGAAGCUAUUAGCUACAAAUUCCUGCCUUGGUUGGGGUGGGUGGAGGUGUGACUGGGAAAUUCUCCAGGGUCUUGCAUACACAGCUAGGCUCAAGGUUUAGCUUAUGGUGACCUUUUCCUCAUUGUAAUAGCAAAAAACACACCACCACGUGGGGAUUUUAUACGCUAAUGAUACAUGGGAUGCGUGUUAGACCAAGUAGCUCAUGUGCUAACCACAGGUCUGCCUUUGCUUACUUGAUCUCACCAGUAUUUUAUUAAUAUGUAUGUACAGUUUCCACAAAGGAAAUUCCCCUUAAGGCACUAACUACUGCCUCUAGCUUUGAGCUAGCUUUGAGCAGCCCACUCUGCCUCUCAGAGUGUACUUUCACUUUGCAAUAAACUCCUUUGCCUAGUCUUAUUUUGGACUCACUCUCAAAUUCUUUUGUGUGGCCCAGAAUCUGAAUCUGGCCCACCAACGACAUUGCAGAAGUGUAAGAGAAUACAUUCGUGUUGUUUAAACAGCUAAGUUUGUGGUAAUUUGUUACAGCAGCAAUAAAAACCUAAUCCAUAACUAAAAGAAGCUAUGUUCUGGUCCCUAGAAGCACCAAAGAAGCUGCAAUGUCCUCGGUCCCCAGUUUAGGGGAAUGGAGUGGAUGUUGAAAGCUUCUGAGGGGAGGAAGAGCCUGAAAGACAUUCUCUAGGAAGGAAAGGGCAAACUGGGAGUGAGUCAGAGCUUUAUGAUUGACUACACUCUUUUAUCAUUCAUAAAGACUGUCAGAGGCAUUCCAACCAGAGCGACGCCAUUUUGAGUGAGAGCUAGGAAAAUGAGGCUGCAACUUGGCGGGGUGCAUUUCCAGAAAUAUAGGUAUUCCUAGCCUCUAGACAUUUAUGGUUAAGGGAAUAGAUUAAUAAUAUUUACUAGGCCAGGAAAGGUGGCUCACACCUGUAAUCCCAGCACUUCAGGAGGCCGAGGUGGGUGGAUCACAAGGUCAGGAGUUCGAGACCUGCCUGGCCAAUAUUGUGAAACCCGUCUCUACUAAAAAUACAAAAAUUAGCUGGGUGUGGUGACAUGUGCCUGUCCCGACUACUCGGGAAAUGGAGGCAGAAGAAUCGCUUGAACCCAGGAGGCGGAGGUUGCAGUGAGCCAAGAUUGUGCCAUUGCACUCUGGCCUGGGCAACAGAGGGAGACUCUGUCUCAAAAAAAAAAAAGUUUACUAAACUGACCCAGAUUUAGCAAUGUCCAGAUAAUCCUGACACCUGGAGAACAAAGGCACUUCUAAUUUUGCUUUAAAGAUAAUAAUAUUGAUUCUUGCAAAACAUAGUAAUUAAGGAAAUUAAUCCUUUAUCACAAACUCUUGUAGCAGAGCACAUCUUCCCAUGAUCUUCUUUUAUCAUAUAUAUAUAUGAUAUAUAUAUAAAGAUAUAUAUAUAAGCAUUGUACCUAGGGUGGACGCGUUCCUCCUCUUACUUUCUGGAAUGCCCUACUCUGUCUAUGGGUUAGCUCUUCUUUCACCACUGAACUUGCUUUUGCUGUGCACUCCAGCAGACUUGCCCUGAAUUCUUUCUUGCACGAGAUCCAAGAACCCUCUCUUGGGGUCUGGAUUGGGACCUCUUUCCUGUAACAGGACCACCUUCCACAAAUGGACCCAGGUUCAGUGUCCACUCUGAUUCACUGUCCCAUGCUGCCUUCCCUAAAGCAGGCACUUUGCCACUGGUUUCACACGUCUGGGGUGAAGAACUCUUCUUGGUUUGUCCGGAACCUUUCUGGUUUUGCGUGGAAAGUCCUGUGUCCUGGGAAACUCCACAGUCCCAGGCAUCCUAUACCAUGCUUCAUUUGCCAAAAACUGUGACCCAAAAAAAUUGUGAACAAUGAUUUUACUGCAAAAUGUUGGAAACUCUGUAGAAAGUAGUUGUAUGGUAUGCUGUGAAAAUAGGGAAUUUUUUUUGGGUAUUUGAUUUUGUAACACUUUUCUGAUUAUAAAAGCAUUAAAUACACAUUUGGAGGUACUUGGAGAGACAAAGGAAAGCUUAAAGCAAUGCUUUUCAAGCUUUGUUAUGUGUAAGAAUAUCUUGCUUGAAAUGUAGAGUCCCAGGCUGCAACGCAAGAGUGUGCAUCAGGAAGAGUGGAGUGUUGCCCAGAAAUCUGGAAGGUAAGAGAAAAGGCUAGCCACUAAUAGUAGUUUAAAUGAGUCGAGAGUCUGGUCUACAUUUUGCAUGUCUAAUAGACAUCUCAAAAUUAGCAUAUCCAAAAUCAGAUCCAAAUCCUCUCCCCUGGUCUGUCCCUGCCCACGCCCCUACCCUCUAUCAAGUCUUUCCCAUCUCAGCAUCCUUCCAGUUGCUUAAGCCAAACACCUGGGCAUAAUCCUUGUCUCUAUUGUUCCUAUCACACCAUACCUAAUUGUGUUAAUUCUAUCUUCAAAUGUAUUCUGAACUUGACUAUUUCCCACAACCCCCAUCAUCACUUGCCUAGUUUAUUUCAAUGGCCUUCUGACAGAUGUUGCUACCUCCAUUCUUGUUUCCUUGGUUCUAUUUUCAACAGAGGAGCCAGAGAAAUUAAAACAUGAGUUAAAGCCUAUAGUCAGAGCCUAUCAGUCCUUUGUCCUUUUAGUGCCAUCCAUCUCACUCAAAGUAGAAUCAAAGUCCUUAGAAUGGGCCACAUGGUCCUACCCAGCCUGGACCCGCUCACUUCUGUUGAGCUAAUGUCCUGCACUUCACCUGAUGACCUCAUGUCCUGCACUUCACCCCUCCUUCACUCUGGUCCAGACACACUGGCAUCCCUACUGCUCCUUAUACUUGCUAGGCAUGCUUCUGCCUCAAGGCCUUUGUGCAGACUCUUCCCGUUGCCUAGAACACAUUUCUCUCAGAUAUUCUCAAAGCUGGCUCUCUAACCUCUUUCAGGCAUUUGCUGAAAUAUCACUUUCUCUGUAAGGACUUCUCUAACCUCCCUAUUUAAAAUUGUAAUAUUUUCUCCCCACUCCCUGUUCCCCUUCUUGGUUUGUGUUAAUUCAUAGUACCUACCACCAUCUAAUAUUACAAAUUUUUUUUUUUUUUGAGACUGAAUCUUGCUCUGUCGCCCAGGCUGGAGUGCAGUGGCAGGAUCUUGGCUCACUGCAACCUCUGCCUCCCAGGUUCAAGCGAUUCUCCUGCCUCAGCCUCCCAAGUACCUGGGACUACAAGUGUGUGCCACCACGCUCAGCCAAUUUUUUGUAUUUUUAGUAGAGACAGGGUUUCACCAUGUUAGCCAGGAUGGUCUUGAUCUCCUGACCUCGUGAUCCACCCGCCUCGGCCUCCCAAAGUGCUGGGAUUACAAGUGUGAGCCACUGCAUCCGGAGUAUUACAAAUUUUUUAUUACUUUGUUCGUGGUUUGCCUUCCUCCAACAGAACACAAGCUCCACUGGGAUUUUUGUCUGUUUUGUCACUGCUUUAUUCCCAGGACCCAGAAGAGCACUUAGCAUAAAGUAGAUGCUCAAUGAGUAUUGGUGAAGGCAUGGAUGGAUAUAUAACAUAUGACAGAGCUUGCAGUGUAAAACAGUGGGGAAAAUUAGAGGCUGUGCAUUAGAUGACACUGAGAUAAUUAGUUAACCAUAUGGAAAAAAGGGGAAACAAAUAUAUAUUUUGCUCUAAACACAAAAAUUAAUUCCAGAUAUAUAAAGAUUUACAUAUGAAAGGCAAAUGUCUCAGUUGUUCAGGCCUCUAUGACAAAAAUACCAUAGACUGGGUGGCUUAAAUAACAACCACUUAUUUCUCAUAGUUCUAGAGGUAGGGGAAGUCUGAGCUCAGGGUGCACAGUCAGUUUCAGAUGAAUGUUCUCUUCUGGGUUGCAGACUGCUAACUUCUCAUUGUGUCUUCACAUGGUGGAAGAGACAAGGGAGCUCUUUGGGGUCUCUGUCAUAAGGGCACAAAUCCCAUUCAGUAGUGCUCUGAUCUCAUGACCUAAUCACCUCCCAAAGGCCCCACCUCCAAAUACCAUCACACUGAGGAUUAGGUUUUAACAUGUGAAUUUUAGGAGGGACACAAGCAUUCAGUCUAUAGCAGCUAAACUGAAAAAUAUUUAGUCAAUAAUAUAGAUUAUCUUUGUAAUCUCAAGACAAGGUAGGACUUAUUAAACUAGACCAAGAGUCCAAAACAUAAAGAUUGAUACGUUUAGCUACUUUAGAAUGAAAAAACAAAUGCUUCUCUCUUCUCAAAAGAUGACAUAAAGAGAGAGAAACAACAAGCCAGAAACUCCAAGAAGAUGUUUGUAACACAUAUAACCAACAAGGAAUUAGUGUCCAGAAUAUACAAAAAACAAAUAUUUCCCAUAAAUCUGAAACCAACCCAUUUGUCCCAUAGGACUGAUUAUGUUUUUUUUCUUUUAAUAAACAUAGAAAUUUACCCUACAAGUCUUAAAACUUGAGAAACUUACAUUUGUCUUAUCUGAGUUCCUUUCUCAGGAAAUUGAUGAUCAGGGCUCCCUGGUAGUAUCAGGAAACUGAAACUUACCUUUCACUGCAUCUGCUAAGACACCAGACCCCUCACCCUUCAUGACUGCCUAACUGACCCCAGGCUGCCUGUUGACCAACUCCUCUUCCUUACCCCUCCCUAAUUCCUGUUUUCCCAUAUGUAGUUACCUUUCUUCCCUGCUCUAUAAACCCUUAAUUUUAAUCUGUUGAAAAGAGGAGACAGAGUUAAGACUGAUCUCCAAUCUCCUCGGUUGCAACACCUGAAUAAAGCCUUCUUCCCUCACAAUACUUGUUGUCUCAGUGAUUGGCUUACUGUGCAGUGAGCAACCUAGACCAAACCCUUGGCAUUUUGGUAACAAAUCCAAAAGAAAACUAAAAAUAGCCAAUAGAAGAAAGUAUAAAAAACAUAAAAGACACUAUACAGAAAGAGAAAUACAACUGGCCAAAAAAAAAAAAAGGAAAAAAGAAAGAAAAGAAAAAUGCUCAGCUUCAUUAAUAAUUAGGAAAAUGCACAUUAAAACCAAAUGCGAUAACAUUUCACACACAUCAAAAUGGCAAAAAGUCAAAAGUCUGACAAUUCCAAGUGAAGUUGCAGAUGUGGUUUAAUGGGAAUUUCAUCUGCCACUAAAGGGAAUGUAGAUUAUACAACCCCUGGGAAAUAGUCUCCCCUCACAAAGUAACACUAUAUAUACUGCAACCACAUUCUAAGACUCAGAAAUUUCAUUACUAGUUACAUAUUCUAAAAAGUCUUGCAGGUAUGUGCCAGGGUACAUGUAUGAGAAUGUUCAUAGCAUCAUUGGUCAUAACAGCAAAACUAUGAAGACAAACCAAGUUCUAAGAAUAGUAAAAUGGAGAAGAAAAAAACAUGGGACUUUCAAAUUUGGAAUACCACACAGCAGUGAAAAUGAACAAGCCAAAGCUAUAUGCAUCAAGAUGGUGAAUCUCAGAAAUAAAGACAAGUCACAGAAGAACACAUACAUUACAAUUCCACGUAUACAAAGUUUAAAAAUAGGCAAAACUAGACAAUAUCCUGUUUAGGGAUACAUACAUGUAUCAAGGAAGUAUAAAGAAAAGCUAGGCCUUGGCCUCUCCCUCUCCCUCUCCCCCUUUCCCUUGGAUCUCCCUCUGUUGCAGAGGCUGGACUGUACUGCCAUGAUCUCAGCUUGCUGCAACCUCCCUGCCUUGGGCUCCCGUGAUUCUCCUGCCUUGACCUGCCGAGUGCCUGGGAUUGCAGGCAUGCGCUGCAAUGCCUGACUGGUUUUUGUAUUUUUGGUGGAGACGGAGUUUCGCCGUGUUGACCGGGCUGGUCUCCAGCUCUUGACCUCGAGUGAUCUGCCCGCCUUGGCCUCCCGAGGUGCUGGGAUUGCAGACGGAGUCUCGCUCACUCAGUGCUCAAUGUUGCCCAGGCUGGAGUGCAGUGGCAUGAUCUCAGCUCGCUACAACCUCCACCUCCCAGCCGCCUGCCUUGGCCUCCGAAAGUGCUAAGAUUACAGCCUCUGCCUGGCUGCCACCCCAUCUAGGAAGUGGGGAGCUCCUCUGCCCGGCCGCCCCGUCUGGGAUGUGAGGAGCGCCUCUGCCCGGCCGCCACUCCGUCUGGGAACUGAGGAGCGCCUCUGCCCAGCCGCCCCAUCUGAGAAGUGAGGAGCGCCUCUGCCUGGCAGCUGCCCCGUCUGGGAAGUGAGGAGCAUCUCUGCCUGGCCGCCCAUCGUCUGGGAUGUGAGGAGCACCUCUGCCCACCCGCCCCGUCUGGGAAGUGAGGAGCGCCUCUGCCCGGCUGCCCCGUCUGGGAGGUGUACCCAACAGCUCCGAAGAGACAGCGACCAUCGAGAAUGGGCCAUGAUGACAAUGGCAGUUUUGUGGAAAAGAAAAGGGGGAAAUGUGGGGAAAAGAAAGAGAGAUCAGAUUGUUACUAUGUCUGUGUAGAAAGAAGUAGACACAGGAGACUCCAUUUUGUUCUGUACUGAGAAAAAUUCUUCUGCCUUGGGAUGCUGUUAAUCUAUAACCUUACCCCCGGCCCUGCGCUCUCUGAAACAUGUGCUGUGUCCACUCAGGGUUAAAUGGAUUAAGGUCGGUGCAAGAUGUGCUGUUAAACAGAUGCUUGAAGGCAGCAUGCUCGUUAAGAGUCAUCACCACUCCCUAAUCUCAAGUACCCAGGGACACAAACACUGUGGAAGGCUGCAGGGACCUCUGCCUAGGAAAGCCAGAGACCUUUGUUCACGUGUUUAUCUGCUGACCUUCUCUCCACUAUUAUCCUAUGACCCUGCCACAUCCCCCUUUCCGAGAAACACCCAAGAAUGAUCAAUAAACACUAAAAAAUAAAAAAUAAAUAAAUAAAUAAAUAAAUAAAAAGAAAAGCUAGGAUGGCCGGUGUGGUGGCUUGUCUUUAAUCCUAGAACUAUGGGAGGUUGAGGCAGUAGGAUUGCUUGAGGCCAGGAGUUUGAGACAAGCCUGGGCGACAUAGCUAGACACCAUCUCUACAAAAAUAAUAAUAAGAAGAAAAGUUCACUGGGACCGGGCGCGGUGGCUCACACCUGUAAUACCAGCACUUUGGGAGGCUGAGGUAAGUGGAUCACCUGAGGUCAGGAGUUCAAGACUAGCCUGGCCAACAUGGUGAAACCCCGUCUCAACUAAAAAUACAAAAAUAUUAGCUGGGCGUGGUGGCGGGCACCUGUAAUCCCAGCUACCUUGGGAGGCUGAGGCAGGAGAAUUGUUUGAACCUG